This 427-nucleotide ribosomal RNA is filed under the name uncultured archaeon. RNAcentral describes it as "bacterial SSU rRNA". It matches the Rfam family "Archaeal small subunit ribosomal RNA", at positions 474 to 902 of the family's 1478-position model. The record is from RNAcentral.
UACCAGCUCUCCGAGUGGUAGGGAUGAUUAUUGGGCUUAAAGCGUCCGUAGCCGGCUUAGCAAGUUUCCUGUUAAAUUCAGCGACCUAAUCGUUGAGCCGCGGGAAAUACUACUAGGCUAGGAGGCGGGAGAGGUCGACGGUACUUCUGGGGUAGGGGUGAAAUCCUAUAAUCCCGGGAGGACCACCAGUGGCGAAGGCUGUCGACUAGAACGCGCUCGACGGUGAGGGACGAAAGCUGGGGGAGCGAACCGGAUUAGAUACCCGGGUAGUCCCAGCUGUAAACGAUGCGGGCUAGGUGUUGGGGUGGCUACGUGCCACUUCAGUGCCGCAGGGAAGCCAUUAAGCCCGCCGCCUGGGGAGUACGGCCGCAAGGCUGAAACUUAAAGGAUUGGGCGGGGAGCACCACAAGGCGUGAAGCUUGCGUUC